RNAcentral lists this ribosomal RNA (457 nucleotides) under uncultured bacterium. RNAcentral describes it as "bacterial SSU rRNA". It matches the Rfam family "Bacterial small subunit ribosomal RNA", at positions 33 to 507 of the family's 1533-position model. The record is from RNAcentral.
ACGCUGGCGGCGUGCUUAACACAUGCAAGUCGAACGGUAAGGCCCUUCGGGGUACACGAGUGGCGAACGGGUGAGUAACACGUGGGUGAUCUGCCCUGCACUUCGGGAUAAGCUUGGGAAACUGGGUCUAAUACCGGAUAGGACCACGGUCUGCAUGGAUUGUGGUGGAAAGCUUUUGCGGUGUGGGAUGGGCCCGCGGCCUAUCAGCUUGUUGGUGGGGUGAUGGCCUACCAAGGCGACGACGGGUAGCCGGCCUGAGAGGGUGUCCGGCUACACUGGGACUGAGAUACGGCCCAGACUCCUACGGGAGGCAGCAGUGGGGAAUAUUGCACAAUGGGCGCAAGCCUGAUGCAGCGACGCCGCGUGGGGGAUGACGGCCUUCGGGUUGUAAACCUCUUUCAGCAGGGACGAAGGGUGACUGACGGUACCUGUAGAAGAAGCACCGGCCAACUACGUG